CUGGGGUACGGUGACAUGUACCCCAUGACGUGGUCUGGGAUGUUGGUGGGUGCCCUGUGUGCCCUGGCAGGGGUGCUCACCAUCGCCAUGCCCGUCCCCG
Chaetura pelagica (chimney swift) is the source of this 100-nucleotide regulatory RNA element. It matches the Rfam family "Potassium channel RNA editing signal", at positions 1 to 100 of the family's 114-position model. From Rfam's summary of the family: This family represents a group of sequences related to the human potassium channel Kv1.1 hairpin element which directs the efficient modification of an adenosine to inosine by an adenosine deaminase acting on RNA (ADAR). Lineage: Eukaryota; Metazoa; Chordata; Aves; Apodiformes; Apodidae. The record is from Rfam.